RNAcentral lists this long non-coding RNA (717 nucleotides) under Olea europaea (common olive). RNAcentral's name for it is "long non-coding RNA (OEUR_LNC002077)". The record is from RNAcentral. Lineage: Eukaryota; Viridiplantae; Streptophyta; Magnoliopsida; Lamiales; Oleaceae.
AGGAGUCAUUGAAUGAUAUAGAGUGCUUGACGGCAUGUCUCGUAUAAUGUCCACAAAUUUGUGAACUAGGAUCAACUUACUAUGCGAACCAACAAUGCAUUUCUCUACCAGGGCAUGAUCGUAUACCAAUGGAGGUCGAAGAUAGGUCUCAUAAGGUCUAAAAAUAAUUGGGGUUAAAGGCUAUCAAUCUCCACACAGAUCAAUCCAAUGGAAGGAAGAUAAGGCAUACAAAUAAUUGGGUUAAAGGUGCCCCUCAUGGGGUGGUUGAGUUGAUAGAGUAGGUGAGCGCGGAAACCUUUGGUCACGAGUUCGAUUUUCCCCGCCAACACUUUCUCGAUCUAGCUUGUCGAAUCGAACUUGCCUAGUGUGGUGUACCUGGCUGUCACGAUUUACCAAUGGAGGUCGAAGAUAGGUCUCAUAAGGCCUAAAAAUAAUUAGGGUUAAAGGCUAUCAAUCUCCACAAAAAUCAAUCCAAUGGAGGUAGAAGAUAUGGCAUACAAAUAAUUGGGUUAAAGGCUAUCAAUUUCCACACAAAUCAAUUAUUAAGCCGUUUGAUUAUCUUUUCAUUGUAUUCACUUCAUUAUUAGCGCAUGUUGGCACUCAGUUUAUAUCCAUUCAUGGUUGGUCCCAUAAGUUUUAAUGUUUUGAUGUUCCUUUCAUUUUGUUCCAUGCAUACUGAUAUUCCUAUGAAUUUGGCAUGUCCAAAUAAUUGAGUGC